CGGAGCGGUACGAGGAGAUGGUGGAGUUCAUGGAGAAGGUCGCCGGCGCGGCGGCUGCGGGCGAGGAGCUCACGGUGGAGGAGCGCAACCUCCUCUCCGUCGCCUACAAGAACGUCAUCGGCGCCCGCCGUGCCUCGUGGCGGAUCGUCUCAUCCAUCGAGCAGAAGGAGGAGGGCCGCGGCAAUCACGACCACGUCGACGCCAUCCGCGCCUACCGUGGCCGGAUCGAGGCCGAGCUGUCCUCCAUCUGUGCUGGGAUACUCCGCCUUCUCGAAGACCGGCUCAUCCCUGCCGCUGCUGCUGCGGACUCCAAGGUCUUCUACCUCAAGAUGAAGGGCGACUACCAUCGCUACCUCGCCGAGUUCACGACCGGAUCCGAACGCAAGG
Molecule: long non-coding RNA, 387 nt
Filed under: Musa acuminata (dwarf banana)
Lineage: Eukaryota; Viridiplantae; Streptophyta; Magnoliopsida; Zingiberales; Musaceae
Description: long non-coding RNA (MACU_LNC006203)
Source: RNAcentral